CCCCGCGCCGUGAGGGGAGGGUCGGGGGAGGCGCGGAGCGGGCGGGCGGUUCUCCCGGAAGGGCCGGCAGCUUGGGCCCCCGAGGGACCUCCAGCCUUGCAGAGCCCGGGGUAGGAUUGUGUCCCCGACCUUCACCCUCCACCGUCAAGUACUCCCUGUCUCUGAGCCCGUGGACCAGCUGCCAUGCUUGCACUGAUGUUUUUCCUAUGAGAGAAACAGGUUUGGGCUCUUGUGUCUCUAUCCAAAGUGCACAAAUGGAUGGUAAACCAAGAAGCAUUUAUGUGUAAAGACAACAGCGCGUUUGCACCAGCCUCCAUGCAUUUCCUGUUCUUCCUUGUACCCUACAGCCAUUCGAACUUUCCACUCAAGGCCCUGCAAGAACGCUCACAGCCAGAUUAAUGACCUCAAAGACCCCUCAGAUGAACCUGAGAACCAUAUCUUUGCACACCCUCUCCAUUGAGUAAAUUCUGUUCAGUAACGUCCUUGGCCAGACCUCCUGCUUUGUGAAACAUUUCCUGACAACCAGCCAAGUAGCCAACUCCAUCCAUCCAUCUCAUCAGCAUUUAUGGAGGCCAAGCUCUGGGCCUCUUAUACAACAUACACAUGGUAGGUGAUCGAGAAACAGUUACCAGCUGGCUAAGUGGCAUAGUCACACACGUUUUAUCCCUUAGUUAGAUUAUAAGAUCUUUGCGGGAGGGGUCAAAAUCUUAUCCAUCUCUGCACUGCCCUAGCAACUAGCACGCUGGCCUGGAGCGUAGCAGGCAUUUGGUAAUAUCUGAAGACAUAUGUGCCAUAAGGAGUGCCCCAGAGAAGCAACAGAUACCGAGUUUCAAUCUAGUUCUAUGUCUGGAAGCAGGACCCCUCCUCCCCCAACGCUAAGUGAUGCAGAGGAAUGGAGAGGCAGCGCCAGAGAACAGAGAGCAGAGCCCUUACUCAGUCCUGCAAGCCAGGAGCAUUUCACCGACCCUUCGACCUGGAGGCUCUGCUCAGGAUUCAGCCGAAGCUACGUCUAGGACCCAGCUGUAUCCGUGUGACCUUGUGAGUGAAACCCAACCUGAUUCUGAUUCCGAAUUCCAAGCUCUAGAAUAACAACGGUUACCAUGUACUGAGGGGCUCUCUGAGCCGAGCACGGCCAAGUGCUUCAUACCCAUGGCCUCCUUCCAGCCUCACAACGCUGUGGAGUCCCUGCUGUGCUGUUCUAGUCUUUCCCCGUCACUCCUGGAACUUCUGGGCACAGAAAGUGAAGAUGGAUGAGCAGAGACAGUGGGGAGACUGAGGCAAGACCUUGUGGGAACUGCGCUGUGCAAUCUGACAGAGCUGGGCAGCUCUGCACUUAGUUGCGGGGUGAUUUCAGAGCUUGGCAUGGGGCCUAGCAGAGAACAGAAGCUCCAUGACCGUUAAAGGAGUGAAGAGAAAUGAAUCCUGACCUCUGAAGUAGGAGGUAGGAGGAGGUGAUCUCAACAAAACUCCAGUCCCAAACGCCCAGAGAAGUCAGGUGGUGAACAGAGUAAAAACAUGACCUCUA
This is a long non-coding RNA of Suricata suricatta (meerkat), 1525 nucleotides long. RefSeq lists it as uncharacterized. The record is from RefSeq and is a predicted model, not a curated record. The transcript has 5 exons. NCBI's taxonomy places the organism in Eukaryota, Metazoa, Chordata, Mammalia, Carnivora, Herpestidae.